Molecule: long non-coding RNA, 2584 nt
Organism: Hylaeus volcanicus
Lineage: Eukaryota; Metazoa; Arthropoda; Insecta; Hymenoptera; Colletidae
Exons: 4
Source: RefSeq, a predicted model, not a curated record
AUGGUUAUUCGACCGCUCAAAUGCGAUCUGUAGAUGGAUUUCAAUAAAGUUUGUAUCAUUGCAACCAUAAUGUAGAUUUGACAGCGUAUGAUAGUAUUUGAGCAUGUUUGAUGUCACUUUGGAUAGCCUCUUGGACUAGGCUUAGGUAUCCCUCAGAUAUUCUUUUGAUCAAAUACUCAAUUUGAAGUUUAGAGUGCACGUUUCUGUUUGACCAUGUUUGGCUUUGAUUCGAUUAGUGUACUUAUGUUCCAUGUCUGAGUCUGCAAAUAGUUUUCAAUUGCAUUAUCGAAUCGACAAUCUAGGUUUGACAGCAUAUGAUCCUGUUUGAGCAUGCCUGACGUAACUUGAAAAUAAAAUGAGGAACUCCAGAUCGAUAUUCGACUGUCGCGGAGGAAAUUGCGUGACCUUCGUAUAAAAAUGACUGGAAAUACACGGUUCGAUUUUCGUGCCGGGUGAAAAGUAGCUUUAGUCGGUCAGUAGCACGUUUGGCUAGAGAAUAUCCGAACGAGGGGCAUGAUGCAUGGUUGACGUACGAGUCGUAAAUCUGCGGUAUAACUCUUAAUCCACUCUUGGUUUAAUUGCAUCAGAUAAGAAAACAGUCGUUGAACCUCCGUGGCUCCUCGCAACUGGCAUAAACGGAGGAAAGAUUUUCACCCAUAAUUUCCAGGUUGCCGUCAGUUUCGCGAAACAACCAACUCGUUGGACGUGUUCGGCUGGUAACGCAAAUGCUAAUUCCGUGCAACGAGACAUGAAUCAUUUGGAAAGCAAAAUAUAAAUAUUCCGUUGAGUGAGCAUUCGGUGUUCCUAGUCUUGUUAGAUUUCCGGUUGAUGGCUCGUCCUAUCGGAGUUGCCAAACUGGUUCAAGAUAAUGCGGUAAGCUUUGGUGUUGACACAUAUUUUGCAGACACCUGUUGAUUAAAUGCAACAUGUGUUCCUUGACUCUGUUGAUAAGACCCGAAGACAUCUUAAAAUUGUAGAAUUUAGAUCGUAUGCUAGAUUUCAGUCGAUGGUUUCUUAGUUAAAGUAGCGAUGUAGAUCACUUGAAUCUGGUACAUUCUAGCAUUCUAUCUACAUUUACUUAAAGACACAAGCGUGUCCCACUUAUCCCUACUAAUGGCACUUCUAAAAAAAAUCCCUAAAAUAACAGUCAUAGAAUCACCAACGUCCCACUUCUGUCGGCUGACCCGCCUAGCCUGUUUCCUCUGUCCUUACCAAUUUGGCCUCGCGAGUGCUCCCCGUCACUCACAAUAAUUAUAAACCGAAUCUCCAAAAUUGCAGUCGUUGAACUUUCCAUGUCCCACUUCUGUCAGACGUCCUCUCGACAACGUCGCCCGGUGGACAGCGAAUUAGCCCCAGCGUUCUCCUCUCGGAGUCUACGAAUUCCGGUAGCGCUGAUCAACAUCGGUUCCCAGUGUCAAAGCAGCUGGAUUUUCGCUUGGUACAACCACGGGGCCACGGAAGAUGUAUGCGUGUACCCGUAGGCUGGUACCUGCCGCCGACACGACAUCCUAACGGAUCGUGUCUGAGUUCACCGCUGCCCUCCGAGGACUCUGACUCCCUGGUGCUCCUGCCAUCGCUGCCUAAAUUGCUGCGGACCCUUUCCAACGAGGUGACCCUGGCCAAAUUGUCUGUAUGUGACGCCAGUGCCUUCAGCUGACCCCCCAAUAAUUCAGCUGUCUCGACAGAGUCGCACCUGAAGUCAGAGAGGUGGGCGCUUUUAGGAAAAAAAAAAAACGUGUAUCGAUAAUUAUCGUUGGCCCCGGGGCGUUCGAAUUACCACAGCGGAUAUUUCAAUGGCGACCAUCAGGGACCCAAUUACGAAUUCGGAUGGGACGCUCAUUAUAAACACACUGGUUCGUCGAAUCGAAGAAAAACACACGACGAAAGAAGGAAACGUUAUGUUUAUAUUUUUCCAACGACAGAAAAAUGGAUAUAAAAAGAAGAUUAAGCUUCAUUUACACGUUGUUUAGCAUUCAUGAGUAUAAUGGUGACAUUAAUUGCUCGUUGCGGCGAGAAGGGGCUGCCCUGGAAAGGGAAAAUUACGAUCGUUUAAAUGCCAUAAAAAUACAACCGUUCGACCGUCUCGAUUAAAUAACGAUUAAGAUUACUAUGUAGUGAAAAAUGUAGCGGGAAAGUGUUACUCGGCGUUUCUUUUUUAAAGUAUGCAAAAGAACGUACCAUGAAGUCAACUGUUUACAAAAGUCAUUGCAUAAUAUUUGUUGAAAGGAUUUUUCAAAUAAAACGAGAUUUGUGUAUUCGACAUGGACAAUAAAAUUCUGUCGGAAUUUCAAUUAGACGCAACAUUUAUAAUCGUAGCAAAUGAAAAUUACAACUUUCAAAUCUCUCGCUUUCAUCGCUCCAAACGGAAGCAAUUAAAUCUGAAUUUCUUUAGCUUCGCUGAGUUUAUCACUCUAUCAUAGCGCAAUCUGGGGUUUUCAAUCCUGUAAAAGGCAUUUAAACUUUUCACUGUUAUCUCACGGAACAAUUACAGUAAUUGUAACUAGAGUCGAAAGUUAACAAUUACUGGCAUUCUUCGUCAAUUGUUAUGGAAAUAUAAUGUAUAGGAUCUUACUAUAUUUCCUAA